GUCUACGGCCAUACCACCCUGAACACGCCCAGUCUCAUCUGAUCUCAGAAGCUAAGCAGGGUCAGGCCUGGUUAGUACUUAGAUGGGAGAAACCAAGCUAACAAAAUCU
RNAcentral lists this ribosomal RNA (109 nucleotides) under Microtus ochrogaster (prairie vole). The record is from RNAcentral. Lineage: Eukaryota; Metazoa; Chordata; Mammalia; Rodentia; Cricetidae.